This 76-nucleotide transfer RNA is filed under the name Bacteroidales bacterium. RNAcentral's name for it is "tRNA-Gly". It matches the Rfam family "tRNA". From Rfam's summary of the family: Transfer RNA (tRNA) molecules are approximately 80 nucleotides in length. Their secondary structure includes four short double-helical elements and three loops (D, anti-codon, and T loops). Lineage: Bacteria; Pseudomonadati; Bacteroidota; Bacteroidia; Bacteroidales. RNAcentral also lists the same sequence under 3 other names. The record is from RNAcentral.
GCGGAAAUAGCUCAGUUGGUAGAGCGCAACCUUGCCAAGGUUGAGGUCGCGGGUCCGAAUCCCGUUUUCCGCUCCA